CUACUAGUUCUUCUGUAGUCAUUAAGAACACAUCGUGCGCAUCGGCGUUGUAUAGCUUCUAAUUUGUUUAUGUUGUCCUUAGUAGAUGGAUACCAGAUGGUGCUAGAGUAUUCCAUGAGUGGUCUUACAAGCGUUUGAUAACAUAAUGCUUUUGUUUUACUAGGACAGCUUUUGAUGUUCCUUUGAAGAAAAGCUCGGGUGGAGGUAGCUUUCUUUGCGAUGUUGUCAAUGUGUUUGUUCCAACUCAAUGUUUUGUGUAUGGAGACGCCAAGAUAUUUAGCAGAGUCAACCUCUUCUAGGAUGUGGCCGUGGAUGUUAUAAUUUGCCGAGACUAUUUUCCGCUUUGUUGUUACUCUGAGGAGGUGGCAUUUUUGGGGGUGGAAUUUCAUCUGCCAGUCUGCCUCCCAUUGUUGAAGUCCAUCCAGGUCGUUUUGGAGGGUGUUCACAUCCGUUUCGCUUCUUAUCUGUCGGUAGUGAACGCAGUCGUCUGCGAAAAGUCUAACAUUUGAAGAUGACACAUACUCUGGGAGGUCAUUUAUAAAGAGAAGAAACAUAAGCGGGCCAAGCACACUACCUUGUGGGACUCCAGACUGUACUGGUGAGGUUUCUGAUGAUUCUCCUUCCAGGAGUACACAUUGCUGUCUGUCCUCCAGAAAGUUUCUCAGCCAUUUGAAUGUUGUUCCUCUAAUACCGUAAUGGUCGAUUUUGUACAGUAGUCGUUUAUGUGGGACUUUGUCAAAGGCCUUUGAAAAGUCUAAGAGAAUUAGAUCUACUUGCUCUUUAUUGUCGAUGUUUUUUGCUAGGUCUUGAAUCGUGAGGAUGAGUUGGGAUUCACACGACCGUUCGUUUCUAAAACCAUGUUGAGCAUCGGUCAGGAUGGAGUGGUUUUCAAGGUGUUUGAUGAUAUUGGUACAGAUGAUAUGCUCCAAUAGUUUACAUAGUAUUGCAGUUAGCGAGACAGGUCGGUAGUUUGAUGCUUGGCUACGGUCCCCUUUCUUAAAUAUUGGUACUACAUUUGUAUUUUUCCAGUCAGAUGGUAAUUUGCCUUGGUCUACUGAGGCUUGGAAAAAGGUGGUAAGUAUUGGCGAUAUUUCAGUAGCUAUUGAUUUCAAUAAUCUUGUAGAAAUUUCAUCUGGCCCUGAUGCUUUAUGUAUGUUGAGAUUUGAUAGUAGUUUGUGUAUUCCGUUUCCCCCAAUAGUGAUGUUUUCCAUGUGUGGGUACGGGUUCGUUUUCAUUUUCUUUAUGGUUGUCUUGUCUUCAUUGCUGUUAAAUACUGAAGAGAACUGAUUGUUGAGUAUAUUUGCCUUCAUUUUGUUAUCCGAAUAUGUGAGGCCAUCUGUGUUUCUAAGUGGUGCAACUCCUCCAUUUUCGCAUCUUUUAUU
Molecule: long non-coding RNA, 1382 nt
Filed under: Mytilus galloprovincialis (Mediterranean mussel)
Lineage: Eukaryota; Metazoa; Mollusca; Bivalvia; Mytilida; Mytilidae
Source: RNAcentral